GGGGCUGUAGCUCAGUGGUAGAGCACCUGCCUAGCAUGUGUGAGGUACUGGGUUCGAUUCUCAGCACCUCA
RNAcentral lists this transfer RNA (71 nucleotides) under Marmota marmota marmota (Alpine marmot). It matches the Rfam family "tRNA". From Rfam's summary of the family: Transfer RNA (tRNA) molecules are approximately 80 nucleotides in length. Their secondary structure includes four short double-helical elements and three loops (D, anti-codon, and T loops). Lineage: Eukaryota; Metazoa; Chordata; Mammalia; Rodentia; Sciuridae. RNAcentral also lists the same sequence under 1 other name. The record is from Rfam by way of RNAcentral.